UUGAAAGGGAAACGAUUGAAGUCAGUCAUGCCGGUGGGAAUCAACUUAGGGGAAACUCUAGGUGCACUUCUUCGCUUGGCAGGUCAACGUCGAUUUUGAAUGUCAUAAAAUAAUUGGGGGAAGGUAGCUCCUUCGGGAGUGUUAUAGCCCUUGAUAGAUGUGAUGUUUGAGGUCGAGGAUUGCAACGGAUACCCUUUGGGGCUAGCUGCCUGAUCUCUAAUUGGUGUUGGGUUACGGAUAGCAUGCUGNCCGUGAUCUAAUUACUGGUUAAAAGGUUAGAGUGUGCAUAAAUUCGUUAAGGAUGUUGACGUA
This 312-nucleotide ribosomal RNA is filed under the name uncultured Glomeromycotina. RNAcentral describes it as "LSU rRNA". The record is from RNAcentral. Lineage: Eukaryota; Fungi; Glomeromycota.